GGGCCUGUAGCUCAACGGUUAGAGCUGGCGGCUCAUAACCGCUAGGUUGGGGGUUCGAGUCCCUCCGGGCCCACCA
RNAcentral lists this transfer RNA (76 nucleotides) under Parvularcula sp. RNAcentral's name for it is "tRNA-Met". It matches the Rfam family "tRNA". From Rfam's summary of the family: Transfer RNA (tRNA) molecules are approximately 80 nucleotides in length. Their secondary structure includes four short double-helical elements and three loops (D, anti-codon, and T loops). Lineage: Bacteria; Pseudomonadati; Pseudomonadota; Alphaproteobacteria; Parvularculales; Parvularculaceae. The record is from RNAcentral.